GACGAACGCUGGCGGCGUGCCUAAUACAUGCAAGUUGAGCGCUGAAGGUUGGUACUUGUACCAACUGGAUGAGCAGCGAACGGGUGAGUAACGCGUGGGGAAUCUGCCUUUGAGCGGGGGACAACAUUUGGAAACGAAUGCUAAUACCGCAUAAAAACUUUAAACACAAGUUUUAAGUUUGAAAGAUGCAAUUGCAUCACUCAAAGAUGAUCCCGCGUUGUAUUAGCUAGUUGGUGAGGUAAAGGCUCACCAAGGAGAUGAUACAUAGCCGACCUGAGAGGGGGAGCUGCCACAUUGGGACGGAGACACGGCCCAAACUCCUGCGGGAGGCAGCAGUAGGGAAUCUUCGGCAGUGGACGAAAGUCUGACCGAGCAACGCCGCGUGAGUGAAGAAGGUUGUCGGAUCGUAAAACUCUGUUGGUAGAGAAGAACGUUGGGGAGAGUGGAAAGCUCAUCAAGUGACGGUAACUACCCAGAAAGGUACGGCUAACUACGUG
Molecule: ribosomal RNA, 497 nt
Filed under: uncultured bacterium
Lineage: Bacteria
Description: partial 16S ribosomal RNA
Rfam family: Bacterial small subunit ribosomal RNA
Source: RNAcentral